GACGAACGCUGGCGGCGUGCUUAACACAUGCAAGUCGAACGAUGAAGAAGAGAAACGCGAACUUCGGUUCAAAUUUCACUUCGGAUUAGUGGCAGACGGGUGAGUAACGCGUGAGCAACCUACCUCUUACAAAGGGAUAGCCUCGGGAAACCGUGAUUAAUACCAUGUGACACAUUCAUAAGGCAUCUUAAGAAUGUUAAAGCUACGGCGGUAAGAGAUGGGCUCGCGUCCCAUUAGCUAGUUGGUGAGGUAACGGCCCACCAAGGCGACGAUGGGUAACCGGCCUGAGAGGGUGAACGGUCACAUUGGAACUGAGACACGGUCCAAACUCCUACGGGAGGCAGCAGUGGGGAAUAUUGCACAAUGGAGGGAACUCUGAUGCAGCGACGCCGCGUGAGCGAUGAAGGAAUUCGUUUCGUAAAGCUCUGUUCUAUGGGAAGAAAAGGACUGUACCAUAGGAGAAAGCCCCGGCUAAAUACGUGC
This 483-nucleotide ribosomal RNA is filed under the name uncultured bacterium. RNAcentral's name for it is "partial 16S ribosomal RNA". It matches the Rfam family "Bacterial small subunit ribosomal RNA", at positions 28 to 508 of the family's 1533-position model. The record is from RNAcentral.